GCCGGGCAUGGUGGUGCACACCUGUAAUCCCAGUGGCUUGGGAGGCUGAGUCAGGAGGAUCACAAGUUCAAAGCCAAUCUCAGCAAAAAUGAGUUGCUAAGCAAUUCAGUGAGACCCUGCCUCUA
Molecule: small RNA, 125 nt
Filed under: Marmota monax (woodchuck)
Lineage: Eukaryota; Metazoa; Chordata; Mammalia; Rodentia; Sciuridae
Source: RNAcentral